Clostridium pasteurianum BC1 is the source of this 221-nucleotide non-coding RNA. NCBI's taxonomy places the organism in Bacteria, Bacillati, Bacillota, Clostridia, Eubacteriales, Clostridiaceae. The record is from Rfam.
GGAAUCCUGUCUGAGCAAGGUCUAACCAACCAGCAGUAGCGAGUCUUGAGUUGUCAUCAGUAAUGAUGGGAGCUAAGCGUAGACAGCGAGAAAGUAGGGUUGAAAGCUAUUGAGCCUCGAAAUUUUGUAUAUCAGAGGGCUGACGUCUUAAUUGGUGCGGAAAGCAAAAUCACAUAGGUCGUAAUGGUAAGAACUAUGUGGCACUGCGGGGUCAAAGGGCC